AUCGAGUCUACUAUGCUUAGCGCUUCCGUGGCACACAAGUGCACCUCUUUUUUUGCAUCACGACCUAAGUAAAGAAGCUUGACUUCCUGGAAACGAGAACAUAAACCCUUCAUCUCACUAAUGAUCCGAGCUGCAGCUUCAAGGCCUUCCCUGCAAGCCAGGAUUUUGCUGAUGAAGGGAUCAUCAACAUGGCUGUGUCUCCUACAUCCUGCCUCAACAAGCUCACCAUAGUUGUUGCGGAUAAUGUAGCCUGGCCCAGCUACACUUGAUUGAGAAAUUAUUGCUAUGCACGCCUACAUGGAGUACCUGCAAUGGCCGUCAUCAAGGACACGUCUAUGCUCUUCUACAACAACGCCUUUAUGCGUGUCCUCGGCUUCUCUAGCCCUGGCAUCGGCUAGUGUUGCAAUGGCUAGGAAGGAGGUGGCUACUAUUUUCCAAGAUGGCUGGGAGGAGCAGCUUUAGGGAGCUGACCCAUUUUUUAUACGACAACAGCUACAUCGGAGAUGGAGUAAUGGCAUGACCAUUCUGCUUUUUGUUUGGCUGCACAACUGGCUCGAAGGGGCUGCCAGAAUGUUGUUGGCAAGAUCCAGGAGCUGGCAAGCUGAAGAGGUUUAGUGAACUCCAGCAUUGACGAAACCCCAUCUAUAAUGCCACUUACUGCUCUGGCUCCGCUGGUUGGGUCCUCAUGUGCCUCGUGUGUGGUUGUAGUCCUGGCCAGCCCUCUGCCUUUAGCAGCGGCGAUGAUGAAACCUGAAUGGUGCAAGAGAAUAAUUGUACUGUAGAUGAUUUAUUUUUGCAUCGUGGUGGCGAGUACAUGGCUUGGAUGCAGAAGGAAGGCAAUGAGCAG
Long non-coding RNA from Lolium rigidum, 847 nucleotides. RefSeq lists it as uncharacterized. The record is from RefSeq and is a predicted model, not a curated record. The transcript is spliced from 4 exons. NCBI's taxonomy places the organism in Eukaryota, Viridiplantae, Streptophyta, Magnoliopsida, Poales, Poaceae.